AUGCCUCUCAUUUUGUGGAAGUCUAGUUUAUGUCCACAGCAUUUUCUUUUUUCUUUGAAAGAGAACAUUGCUGCCCAGACUCAAAACCAGUUUGUGACUUUCCUGCUGCCAAGUAUCAGGUGUCUAAAUCCUGGGUACAUGCACCCCUCCAGUCAGUUUCUCAUAGCAGCCAGGCAAACUGAGGUGGAGAAAAACUUUGAAUAUAUGAAAGAAGACACUUCUAAGAGUGAUGAUGAACAUGACUUGAAAAUAGCAGGCCUUUCCUCAACACAUGGCAGAGCAAACAUGUUUUAG
This 294-nucleotide long non-coding RNA is filed under the name Lonchura striata (white-rumped munia). Its description in RNAcentral is "domestica (Bengalese finch) lncRNA (ENSLSDG00000006077.1)". Lineage: Eukaryota; Metazoa; Chordata; Aves; Passeriformes; Estrildidae. The record is from RNAcentral.